Molecule: unclassified non-coding RNA, 295 nt
Filed under: uncultured Gammaproteobacteria bacterium
Lineage: Bacteria; Pseudomonadati; Pseudomonadota; Gammaproteobacteria
Description: contains 16S-23S intergenic spacer region
Source: RNAcentral
GGGGACUACCGGGGUUUCUAAUCCUGUUUGCUCCCCACGCUUUCGUGCAUGAGCGUCAAUAUUAUCCCAGGGGGCUGCCUUCGCCAUUGGUAUUCCUCCACAUCUCUACGCAUUUCACUGCUACACGUGGAAUUCUACCCCCCUCUGACAUAUUCUAGUCUUGUAGUUUCAAACGCAGUUCCUAAGUUGAGCUCAGGGAUUUCACAUCUGACUUACAAAACAGCCUGCGCACGCUUUACGCCCAGUAAUUCCGAGUAACGCUUGCACCCUUCGUAUUACCGCGGCGGCUGGCACG